UCCACGCCGUAAACGAUGGGCACUAGGUGUUGGAGCCGACUUGUCGGCUUCAGUGCCGGAGCAAACGCAUUAAGUGCCCCGCCUGGGGAGUACGCUCGCAAGGGUGAAACUCAAAGGAAUUGACGGGGGCCCGCACAAGCGGUGGAGCAUGUGGUUUAAUUCGAUGCAACGCGAAGAACCUUACCGGGGUUUGACAUGGCGAUGACGUCACGGGAGACCGUGAUUCCCUUCGG
This 233-nucleotide ribosomal RNA is filed under the name uncultured bacterium. RNAcentral describes it as "partial 16S ribosomal RNA". It matches the Rfam family "Bacterial small subunit ribosomal RNA", at positions 794 to 1022 of the family's 1533-position model. The record is from RNAcentral.